This 442-nucleotide unclassified non-coding RNA is filed under the name Hevea brasiliensis (rubber tree). Lineage: Eukaryota; Viridiplantae; Streptophyta; Magnoliopsida; Malpighiales; Euphorbiaceae. The record is from RNAcentral.
CACACAAUACAACACGAUUUUCCAUUACAGUGCCAAGCAGGCUUAUUUGGACAGAUAAUUUAUCUCCUCUCUAUAUAGAUUUGCAAAAUUCAUUUUAAAAUUUUGGGAGGUUUUUAUUUAAUAGAAAGGCUAUUGGGGAGUUUAAGUAAACCUACGAGGCAAACUCAAAAGAGAUCCCCCCAAUCUUGACCUUCCCCUUCCCACUGCGCGGGACCAGCGUGACAACAAUGCUCUCAUCCCCCUCGGCCUUUAGAUCCUCUAGCAAGUCAGUGAUCCCCAGCUUCAAAGAUGUCUUCAACUUACCUGAGUGUUGGUGCCGGUGCGGUACGCUCACAAAGCUCCCUGCAAGUUCACUAGACGCCGGCGUCACCCCCUCUGCCGGAACGUUGAUGUAAACGUCGAACUUGGUAUACACGCCCUUCUCCACCUCAAUCCCCUCCAC